Molecule: microRNA, 21 nt
Filed under: Homo sapiens (human)
Lineage: Eukaryota; Metazoa; Chordata; Mammalia; Primates; Hominidae
Description: hsa-miR-4436a
Source: miRBase by way of RNAcentral
GCAGGACAGGCAGAAGUGGAU